GCGGUCGUGGUGGAAUUGGUAGACACGCUAUCUUGAGGGGGUAGUGCCUUCCGGGUGUACGAGUUCGAGUCUCGUCGACCGCACCA
This 86-nucleotide transfer RNA is filed under the name Campylobacter suis. Its description in RNAcentral is "Campylobacter sp. LMG 8286 tRNA-Leu". It matches the Rfam family "tRNA". Rfam says of the family: Transfer RNA (tRNA) molecules are approximately 80 nucleotides in length. Their secondary structure includes four short double-helical elements and three loops (D, anti-codon, and T loops). Further hydrogen bonds mediate the characteristic L-shaped molecular structure. tRNAs have two regions of fundamental functional importance: the anti-codon, which is responsible for specific mRNA codon recognition, and the 3' end, to which the tRNAs corresponding amino acid is attached (by aminoacyl-tRNA synthetases). tRNAs cope with the degeneracy of the genetic code in two manners: having more than one tRNA (with a specific anti-codon) for a particular amino acid; and 'wobble' base-pairing, i.e. permitting non-standard base-pairing at the 3rd anti-codon position. RNAcentral also lists the same sequence under 1 other name. The record is from RNAcentral. Lineage: Bacteria; Pseudomonadati; Campylobacterota; Epsilonproteobacteria; Campylobacterales; Campylobacteraceae.